CCAGGCUUCCUUGCCCACAUGAUUUAGGUGGAAAGAAGCAUGGUGGAAUCUGCAAUGUUUCACCACCCUGUCUGAGCCUUUCUUUUCUGGAAAGGUGUUCUUAUGAACUCAAGAAAAACCAAGCAGAGAAAGGACUGAUUCCACAGAUUCUUGUCCAGUCAUUCCCAACACCAGCAACUCAAAUCAUGUCGACUUUGGUUUUCCAGAUUGCUGCAAGACAAUUCAAGUCGAAAAAGUGUAAGCUGAGUUAUUUCCGUUCGUACUGUAUCUCUGUGUUUGCUGGUCGAGUUUGGUACAACUUACAGCUUCAGAAUUACUGUAUAAUGCUCAGAGGUGUGAAAUGCCAUUUCAGGUAAUUCCUUUCUUCAGUUAAUAUAGAUAAAUAUUGAUGGCGGGCGGCAGUAAAACAAGUCAUUAAAUUCUUCACUGCAAGUGUGUCCCACACAUUGCUGGAAGCUACAGAAAUCUCAUCGGGCUCCAAGAACCACUGCAUGUGAUUAGCGAGUACUUCCAUUUCCAGCUUUCUUCUUCCAAAUUGGAGUGUGAGGGAGCUUGGGCAAGGCCUGGGACCAAUGGACAGGGAAUGGGAGCGAGAUUGCCUUGCUGGGCUUUCUAUCCACCCACUGUACUCCACCACCCUAAUGAACCCCUGGGUGAACCAGAAAGCUUUGAAAAAUGGCAAUCAGCUCCAAAUGGGAGGUCUGGUGCUCUGAAGACAAAGAAACUUUAAAUCUAAACUAGUAACCCUAUAAAACCAGCUAAAGAUUUGGAGGAGUAAUAAACAUCUCUCUGCUGCUGCUGUUUCGAUUAUUUGACUUCAGCAUCUGUUGCGGGGAGGCAGAGGCUUGGCUUGGCAUGGGGGCGGGUCUUCUGG
Molecule: long non-coding RNA, 874 nt
Filed under: Marmota monax (woodchuck)
Lineage: Eukaryota; Metazoa; Chordata; Mammalia; Rodentia; Sciuridae
Source: RNAcentral